CGAAGGGGGCUAGCGUUGCUCGGAUUUACUGGGCGUAAAGGGCGCGUAGGCGGAUCAGCAAGUUGGGGGUGAAAGCCCGGGGCUCAACCUCGGAACUGCCCUCAAAACUGUUGAUCUUGAGUUUGGGAGAGGUGUGUGGAACUCCGAGUGUAGAGGUGAAAUUCGUAGAUAUUCGGAAGAACACCAGUGGCGAAGGCGACACACUGGCCCAAUACUGACGCUGAGGCGCGAAAGCGUGGGGAGCAAACAGGAUU
Molecule: ribosomal RNA, 254 nt
Filed under: uncultured bacterium
Lineage: Bacteria
Description: partial 16S ribosomal RNA
Rfam family: Bacterial small subunit ribosomal RNA
Source: RNAcentral